Molecule: ribosomal RNA, 77 nt
Filed under: Sedimentibacter hydroxybenzoicus DSM 7310
Lineage: Bacteria; Bacillati; Bacillota; Tissierellia
Description: partial 23S ribosomal RNA
Rfam family: Bacterial large subunit ribosomal RNA
Source: RNAcentral
AGGUCAAGAUAGAAAGGGCUUAAGGCGGAUGCCUUGGCACUGGGAGCCGAAGAAGGACGUGGCAAACUACGAAAAGC